UACACUCCUACGGGAGGCAGCAGUGGGGAAUAUUGCACAAUGGGCGCAAGCCUGAUGCAGCCAUGCCGCGUGUAUGAAGAAGGCCUUCGGGUUGUAAAGUACUUUCAGCGGGGAGGAAGGCAAUACGGUUAAUAACCGUGUUGAUUGACGUUACCCGCAGAAGAAGCACCGGCUAACUCCGUGCCAGCAGCCGCGGUAAUACGGAGGGUGCAAGCGUUAAUCGGAAUUACUGGGCGUAAAGCGCACGCAGGCGGUCUGUCAAGUCGGAUGUGAAAUCCCCGGGCUCAACCUGGGAACUGCAUUCGAAACUGGCAGGCUUGAGUCUUGUAGAGGGGGGUAGAAUUCCAGGUGUAGCGGUGAAAUGCGUAGAGAUCUGGAGGAAUACCGGUGGCGAAGGCGGCCCCCUGGACAAAGACUGACGCUCAGGUGCGAAAGCGUGGGGAGCAAACAGGAUUAGAAACCCUAGUAGUCCA
Molecule: ribosomal RNA, 473 nt
Filed under: uncultured organism
Description: partial 16S ribosomal RNA
Rfam family: Bacterial small subunit ribosomal RNA
Source: RNAcentral